UAGAAAAAGCACUUCCAUGUGAAAAGUUCAGAGCCUGGACAAAUCCAGAAAAGAUCACUAAGUGAAGUUCAACUUUUCCUUUCCAGAGUGAAGCUGGCAAAGAGUUAUGGCUUAGAGUCUUUUCUUUGAAGUUGAGGAAUGACUGGUGGUUUUUGGAAGCCAAGGCCGACUUUUCUGGGAUGUCAACUAGGAAGAAUAUGCCCUGGUUCCAGCUGACCCACAUGUGCUUUGCAGAGGCCAGGGAGGAAGGCGCAGGGUAACUGUGGCCUGCACAGUGGUCAGGAGUGCCCUGGGCAGCAGAACAGAACAGAAUAAAAUUUUGCACAGACCACUCUUUCCUUUUCUUCAUCAGGCACCACAAAACCAGCAGCAUUUUA
This 377-nucleotide long non-coding RNA is filed under the name Homo sapiens (human). RNAcentral's name for it is "non-protein coding lnc-RIPK1-5:1". The record is from RNAcentral. Lineage: Eukaryota; Metazoa; Chordata; Mammalia; Primates; Hominidae.